This 72-nucleotide transfer RNA is filed under the name Umbelopsis ramanniana. Its description in RNAcentral is "tRNA-Ala". It matches the Rfam family "tRNA". Rfam says of the family: Transfer RNA (tRNA) molecules are approximately 80 nucleotides in length. Their secondary structure includes four short double-helical elements and three loops (D, anti-codon, and T loops). Further hydrogen bonds mediate the characteristic L-shaped molecular structure. tRNAs have two regions of fundamental functional importance: the anti-codon, which is responsible for specific mRNA codon recognition, and the 3' end, to which the tRNAs corresponding amino acid is attached (by aminoacyl-tRNA synthetases). tRNAs cope with the degeneracy of the genetic code in two manners: having more than one tRNA (with a specific anti-codon) for a particular amino acid; and 'wobble' base-pairing, i.e. permitting non-standard base-pairing at the 3rd anti-codon position. The record is from RNAcentral. RNAcentral also lists the same sequence under 2 other names. Lineage: Eukaryota; Fungi; Mucoromycota; Umbelopsidomycetes; Umbelopsidales; Umbelopsidaceae.
GGGGAUAUUUCUUAAUUGGUAGAGAGCUCGUUUUGCAUAUGAGUAGUGCUGGUUCAAGUCCGGCUAUCUCCA